AGUGAACGCUGGCGGCAGGCCUAACACAUGCAAGUCGAACGGCAGCACAGCAGUAGCAAUACUGUGGGUGGCGAGUGGCGGACGGGUGAGGAAUGCAUCGGAAUCUGCCCCGUCGUGGGGGAUAACGUAGGGAAACUUACGCUAAUACCGCAUACGACCGAGAGGUGAAAGCGGGGGAUCGCAAGACCUCGCGCGAUUGGAUGAGCCGAUGCCGGAUUAGCUAGUUGGCGGGGUAAAAGCCCACCAAGGCGACGAUCCGUAGCUGGUCUGAGAGGAUGAUCAGCAAACCUGGAACUGAGACACGGUCCAGACUCCUACGGGAGGCAGCAGUGGGGAAUAUUGGACAAUGGGCGCAAGCCUGAUCCAGCCAUGCCGCGUGGGUGAAGAAGGCCUUCGGGUUGUAAAGCCCUUUUGUCCGGAAAGAAAAGCUUCGGGUUAAUAACCCGGGGUCAUGACGGUACCGGAAGAAUAAGCACCGGCUAACUUCGUGCCAGCCGCCGCAGUAA
This 506-nucleotide ribosomal RNA is filed under the name uncultured bacterium. RNAcentral's name for it is "partial 16S ribosomal RNA". It matches the Rfam family "Bacterial small subunit ribosomal RNA", at positions 29 to 523 of the family's 1533-position model. The record is from RNAcentral.